Molecule: ribosomal RNA, 603 nt
Filed under: uncultured fungus
Lineage: Eukaryota; Fungi
Description: eukaryotic LSU rRNA
Rfam family: Eukaryotic large subunit ribosomal RNA
Source: RNAcentral
ACCCGCUGAACUUAAGCAUAUCAAUAAGCGGAGGAAAAGAAACCAACAGGGAUUGCCCUAGUAACGGCGAGUGAAGCGGCAACAGCUCAAAUUUGAGAUCUGGCGUCUUUGGCGUCCGAGUUGUAAUUUGCAGAGGGCGCUUUGGCAUUGGCAGCGGUCCAAGUUCCUUGGAACAGGACGUCACAGAGGGUGAGAAUCCCGUACGUGGUCGCUAGCCUUUACCGUGUAAAGCCCCUUCGACGAGUCGAGUUGUUUGGGAAUGCAGCUCUAAAUGGGAGGUAAAUUUCUUCUAAAGCUAAAUACUGGCCAGAGACCGAUAGCGCACAAGUAGAGUGAUCGAAAGAUGAAAAGCACUUCGGAAAGAGAGUUAAAAAGCACGUGAAAUUGUUGAAAGGGAAGCGCUUGCAGCCAGACUUGCCUGUAGUUGCUCAUCCGGGUUUUUACCCGGUGCACUCUUCUAUAGGCAGGCCAGCAUCAGUUUGGGCGGUUGGAUAAAGGUCUCUGUCAUGUACCUCUCUUCGGGGAGAACUUAUAGGGGAGACGACAUGCAACCAGCCCGGACUGAGGUCCGCGCAUCUGCUAGGAUGCUGGCGUAAUGGCUGU